UACGUAGGGUCCAAGCGUUAUCCGGAAUCAUUGGGCGUAAAGCGCGCGCAGGCGGUCCUUUAAGUCUGAUGUGAAAGCCACGGCUCAACCGUGGAGGGUCAUUGGAAACUGGAGGACUUGAGUGCAGAAGAGGAAAGUGGAAUUCCAUGUGUAGCGGUGAAAUGCGUAGAGAUGUGGAGGAACACCAGUGGCGAAAGCGACUUUCUGGUCUGUAACUGACGCUGAGGCGCGAAAGCGUGGGGAUCAAACAGG
This 252-nucleotide unclassified non-coding RNA is filed under the name uncultured Caryophanaceae bacterium. Its description in RNAcentral is "uncultured Planococcaceae bacterium contains 16S-23S intergenic spacer region". It matches the Rfam family "Bacterial small subunit ribosomal RNA", at positions 524 to 776 of the family's 1533-position model. The record is from RNAcentral. Lineage: Bacteria; Bacillati; Bacillota; Bacilli; Caryophanales; Caryophanaceae.